This is a long non-coding RNA of Oncorhynchus keta (chum salmon), 1063 nucleotides long. RefSeq lists it as uncharacterized. The transcript has 3 exons. Lineage: Eukaryota; Metazoa; Chordata; Actinopteri; Salmoniformes; Salmonidae. The record is from RefSeq and is a predicted model, not a curated record.
UGGAGAACUGCAAAUAUGUUGCUACUGCUCUCAAUAACAUUGAUGCCCAGAAUUUAUCAGGCGCUAUCGACAAAGCAUUAAUCAGUAGAACACGCCUGACUCUAAUCCACCAGUCAUACAGUCAUCAAAAAGAGAGCUGCCUACAUGCACAAUUUCUUCAACUAUGGAGUUGGGGAAACACAUGUGGACCUGAAUUGUGAUAACUGCAGUGGUCAAAACAUGAAGUUUGUUCUCUGGUAUUGUGCCUGGUGGACCAUGCACAAGCUCUACCACAAUCUGGACCUUCACUUCUUGAUCACAGGCCACACCAAGUUUGCCCCUGACUUAAGUCGCUUUGGAUAAAAGCGUCUGCUAAAUGGCAUAUAUUGUGCUUUGGCCUCAUCAAACAGGGCUUCAGAAAGACCUGAGUGAAUACCUUGUCUGAGAUUGCUGGUGUUGUGAAGGACAGCACUGUGACAUGUGUCAACAUCCCACAGCUGGUUGGACUGGAGGAUGGUACAGUGCUGGUGGAAAGCUAUGUCUGGCAACAACACCUGACUCUGUCCUUCAGGCCGCUGCCACAGAUCAAGCAGUACCAGAACUUCAGCUUCAAUGCUCUGGAGCCUGGUGUUGUUGUCGCCAAGGAGCAUUCGGACUCAGUCGGGACCAGGUUUCAGUUGCUACGCAACGCUAGCAUCCUUCCUCCCAUAGAUGGUCUGCCUGUAAAAGCACCACCUGGACUGGACACAGCUAGACAAACUAUAUUUUUGAGGCUAUGGACAUCACAAGCCCUGCACCAAAGUCAAGGGCAGGAUAGAAACGCUCUCUGAAUAUAGAUUCCCUUCAUGCGUGGUUUGGACAGACCAGUCAUCAGCACUAUCUGCAGUGCCUCUAUUCACAUGACUCUCUCCUAACAUACAGUACACGCCAUAAGUUGCAGCUAUUUUUUUCUAUCCUGCUGCUCAGCCACUUUACACCUGUAUGCAUAUAACUACCUCGUAUAUAUCACUGAUAUCCUUAUUGUUCUUGUACAUACUGUAUAUUCUAUUUAUAUUGACACUAUCUAUUUCUGAUAUUGCUACUA